GUGAGGAAUAUUGGUCAAUGGACGAGAGUCUGAACCAGCCAAGUCGCGUGAAGGAAGACGGUUCUAUGAAUUGUAAACUUCUUUUGUGCAGGAAUAAAGUGGGUUACGUGUAACCUUUUGUAUGUACUGUACGAAUAAGGAUCGGCUAACUCCGUGCCAGCAGCCGCGGUAAUACGGAGGAUCCGAGCGUUAUCCGGAUUUAUUGGGUUUAAAGGGUGCGUAGGUGGAUUGAUAAGUCAGCGGUGAAAGUUUGCAGCUUAACUGUAAAAUUGCCGUUGAAACUGUCGGUCUUGAGUGCAAAUGAGGUAGGCGGAAUGUGUUGUGUAGCGGUGAAAUGCUUAGAUAUAACACAGAACUCCGAUUGCGAAGGCAGCUUACUGGGAUGCAACUGACACUGAUGCACGAAAGCGUGGGUAUCAAACAGGAUUAGAUACUCGUGUAGUCC
Molecule: ribosomal RNA, 445 nt
Filed under: uncultured bacterium
Lineage: Bacteria
Description: partial 16S ribosomal RNA
Rfam family: Bacterial small subunit ribosomal RNA
Source: RNAcentral